This 47-nucleotide non-coding RNA is filed under the name unclassified sequences. The record is from RNAcentral.
UGGGGUAAGAUUGCGAACACCCCGUGAGGCGUCAGCCCAAGUUUCGC